Molecule: long non-coding RNA, 678 nt
Organism: Platichthys flesus (European flounder)
Lineage: Eukaryota; Metazoa; Chordata; Actinopteri; Pleuronectiformes; Pleuronectidae
Exons: 3
Source: RefSeq, a predicted model, not a curated record
UUCCCUUAGAAGGAAAAGUAGGAUCAACUUUGCUGUAAUGGGAAACCGCAGUUUCAACUGCCAGCCGCUCCUUCACCGCCAUGCUGCAAGCUCUGAACGGCGCCAUUGAUGAAAUGGCGGCCGAUGACGAGAAGAUCAUGGCUGCAGCUCUCGGGGAGUGAAAUGGUUUUUUCUGUGUGCGAUGUUUCCUGUUUACGUGUUGUUCACCUGCACUUUUAUGUUUAUUCAACUCUUCACAAACCCUUUUGAUAAGUUUCACAUUGUUAGAUGAAGUUUUAAAUAGAGACACUGUGAAUACUAUUUGAGCAUAUAUUCUCAAAAUGAAUUUGAAGUAAUGAAAACUGCUCUGUGCCUGUGAACAAGACUUCACCUGCAGAUACCGUGAGAAGCUGCAAACGCUAUCACUGUAAUCAUCACACCUACAAGAAGCUGUCUUCUGGCUUGAAUGAUAAGGGAUGAUAAUCAUUUUUUUGCAUCCCCUUUCAAAGUGAAAACUUCCUUUUUCUCUAGAGUCUCAUUCUCGGAGUGAGGCUGUGUGUGACAGACUGAUACAAGUGGGUCCUCUGAGAAAUCCAGUUGUAGUCCCACAUGAGAUGGAGGCUCAGACAGUCACGUGGCUGGUUUUUCUGGCCCUUAUAAACGAUGUUUCUACAAGUGAUCCUGUGAGUCCCGUUGAAU